RNAcentral lists this ribosomal RNA (468 nucleotides) under uncultured bacterium. Its description in RNAcentral is "partial 16S ribosomal RNA". It matches the Rfam family "Bacterial small subunit ribosomal RNA", at positions 28 to 507 of the family's 1533-position model. The record is from RNAcentral.
GACGAACGCUGGCGGCGUGCUUAACACAUGCAAGUCGAACGGAAAGGCCCUGCUUUUGUGGGGUGCUCGAGUGGCGAACGGGUGAGUAACACGUGAGUAACCUGCCCUUGACUUUGGGAUAACUUCAGGAAACUGGGGCUAAUACCGGAUAGGAGCUCCUGCUGCAUGGUGGGGGUUGGAAAGUUUCGGCGGUUGGGGAUGGACUCGCGGCUUAUCAGCUUGUUGGUGGGGUAGUGGCUUACCAAGGCUUUGACGGGUAGCCGGCCUGAGAGGGUGACCGGCCACAUUGGGACUGAGGUACGGCCCAGACUCCUACGGGAGGCAGCAGUGGGGAAUAUUGCACAAUGGGCGGAAGCCUGAUGCAGCAACGCCGCGUGCGGGAUGACGGCCUUCGGGUUGUAAACCGCUUUCACCUGUGACGAAGCGUGAGUGACGGUAAUGGGUAAAGAAGCACCGGCUAACUACGUG